Molecule: ribosomal RNA, 352 nt
Filed under: uncultured bacterium
Lineage: Bacteria
Description: bacterial SSU rRNA
Rfam family: Bacterial small subunit ribosomal RNA
Source: RNAcentral
AAGUGGAGCAAUCCAUGAGUAUAGUGGCGACCGGGUGAGUAACACGUGACUAACCUACCUUCGAGUGGGGGAUAACCUAGGGAAACCUGGGCUAAUACCGCAUAACAUCUUUGGAUCGGAAGAACUGGAGAUCAAAGGGGCAAUUCGCUUGAAGAGGGGGUCGCGGCUGAUUAGCUAGUUGGCGGGGUAAUGGCCCACCAAGGCUUUGAUCGGUAGCCGGCCUGAGAGGGCGCACGGCCACACUGGAACUGAAACACGGUCCAGGCUCCUACGGGAGGCAGCAGUGGGGAAUUUUGCGCAAUGGGGGAAACCCUGACGCAGCAACGCCGCGUGGAGGAUGAAGUCCCUUGGG